CUUUGAGUAUAAGUAUGCCCCUUGCAAUAUCUGGGACAUACUUAUGCUAAAA
This 52-nucleotide microRNA precursor is filed under the name Capra hircus (goat). RNAcentral describes it as "mir-1302 microRNA precursor family". It matches the Rfam family "mir-1302 microRNA precursor family". RNAcentral also lists the same sequence under 1 other name. The record is from Rfam by way of RNAcentral. Lineage: Eukaryota; Metazoa; Chordata; Mammalia; Artiodactyla; Bovidae.